Perognathus longimembris pacificus (Pacific pocket mouse) is the source of this 1935-nucleotide long non-coding RNA. RefSeq lists it as uncharacterized. Lineage: Eukaryota; Metazoa; Chordata; Mammalia; Rodentia; Heteromyidae. The record is from RefSeq and is a predicted model, not a curated record. The transcript is spliced from 3 exons.
UUUUUACUGUGAUUGACAGUUUGUAUGAGUAGUAGGAAUGCACUGAUUUUAUACCAUUAAGAACAAAACCAGACUACAAGUAAAAUAAAAACCUUUAAGGGCAUACCUUAAUAGGUUUUCUACCUAUUCAUAAGCAAGAGAGAGAAAGAGGGAGAGAGGGGGAAGAGAGAGGGAAAGAGUUAAAAGGAGACAAAAUGGGAGAAGUAAGGUUAAAAUCAAGUCCAUUAAUACUCAAAAGGAUGGAUUGAACCUACAUAGGGAUUUUAUCUUGUUUUAAAUGAUGCAUCAAAACUUGAACUUCUUUGUAAUUGAUAAAAGAAUAUUUCCCUUUAGUGAAGACUUGACUGUUUUUCAUGCUUGAAAUAUGCCAGGCAUAGGUUUCCUGGAAGACCUGUCAGACUGGCAGAACUUUAGUUUUGUGAGCUAUGAUUUUUGCAAAGCACUCACUAUUGUCUUUUGAUAAAGGUUAGAUUUGGUAAGUGUUUUUUUUUAAUUUAUUUUUAUUCCAGUAGACUAUAAAGAAUUGUGUAGAAGCCCCCAUUUUUAAUAACUCAAUUUCAGAAAGCUCCUAAAUAUGCAUGGAGUUGUAAAGGAACUAUUUCAUCUAAUUUAGGCUAAAGCUUGAAUUUAAGAGUGAAUUCAUCACUUAGGGAGAGGACAGCCACUCUUUCACAUUUUAUGAUACAUUCCAGCCCAUGUUUUAUGUUUAUCCAAAGGUCUAAAUGUCAGCUGUUCUGCACAAUUAGGUUGAUCAUUUGCAAACAGGAAAGCCAGUUCCUAAGCUGCCACCUAGAAAAUAAUUAUUUCAUGGCCUUUCAUUUUUAAGUCCUCAGGGAAUGAAAAUUUUCAACAGUGGUUGUACUAUCAUCCCUUAUAUUUCAGAUAUUCUGAAGUAGAGCUUCUCAUUUCUUUCUAUGUGUUUUCAAUAAUAGAAAUCCUCUCUUUCCUCAUGACUAGGACCCAACAUGAACCAAAGACGGUUACAUGCUAGGACAAUAGUACAAAUAGCCUAUAAAUGGAGUUAAAAGUUUGCUGGUAAUUUACAUUUGCAAUGUCUUUUAGUUUUAUUUCUGCCUUUUCUUUUUGCCUUUUUUGUUGUUAUUAAGUAGUUGUACAAAGGGAUUACAAUUGCUUAAGUCAGGUUGAGUACAGUGUUUCUUGGUCAAUGUCACUUCUUCAUUAGUUCUUCCCCAUUUUCCCUCCUGUCCCUACCCACAAGUUACGUAGUUCAUUUUUUUAAACAUAAUGUACACUGAAUAUAACGACUGCAUUUGCUCACCCUUCUGUCCAUUUUUCUCCGUUUUGCUCCCCCAAACCUGUUUUCAAUCUAUGUAUUUUUUUCUUUUUAAAAAUGAGAAUAGUUUCUCAAAUCAGGCUGGCUUAAACAACAAUGUACUCAAACAGUAUAUUAUUUGUGAGAGGAGGAAGAGAAAUGGAGGAAGGGAAGAGAAUGGGAAAAGGAUAGCACCUUGCUGGGUGGCUACAGAGCCACUCUUUGGUAAGCAUUUGAAGGAAUAUGUGUCUUUAUUUGCCUAUUCCUAGGUUCUGCCUAUUCUGCAUCAUUCCCUUCCCUUUACUCUCCUAAGAAAUUGUCUCUCAGAAUCUGAUCCAGUCAUACAGUCAUAGGGUGGGUAGUGCUUACUAAAUUAUGAAAUUAAUCCUGUGGUGCUUUAAUUUUCAGGCCUUUAAGAAAUAUUUAUACUUCUUGUACUACAGUUUUUAUAUUGACAGCCAAAUACAUCAUUUAUUCUCCUUCACAUUGUGAAUAAAGUGAUCAUAGGCUUCCAACUAACACGGUAUUAUUUUUUAAGAGCUCUAGUUCAGACAGCUACUUACUAGAGAAAUGCAGAUCUGUCUUCUCCUUGACUGAUAACGGAAGCAGAGUUUUUCUAGUAGUGCAGACACAAGGGCAGCUUUAUGCAAACUUAAUGAGGU